GACGAACGCUGGCGGCAGGCCUAACACAUGCAAGUCGAGCGAGCGGCGGACGGGUGAGUAAUGUAUGGGGACUGCCUGAUAGACGGGGAUAACUACUGGAAACGGUGGCUAAUACCGCAUACUAUCGGAUAACCCAUAUGGGAUUCGCUAGUAGGUGGGGUAAGGGCUCACCUAGGCGACGAUCUCUAGCUGGUCUGAGAGGAUGAUCAGCGGCACUGGGACGGGGACACGGUCGAGACUCCUACGUAAGCAGCAGUGGGGAAUAUUGCACAGUGGGCGAUAGCCUGAUACAGCCAUGCCGCGUGUGUAAAGAAGGCCAUGGGGUUGUAAAGUACUUUCAGCGGGGAGGCGGUACCCGGAGAAGAAGCGCCGGCUAACUACGUGCCAGCAGCCGCGGUAAUAC
This 403-nucleotide ribosomal RNA is filed under the name uncultured bacterium. RNAcentral describes it as "partial 16S ribosomal RNA". It matches the Rfam family "Bacterial small subunit ribosomal RNA", at positions 28 to 526 of the family's 1533-position model. The record is from RNAcentral.